Molecule: RNA transcript, 6678 nt
Organism: Triticum aestivum (bread wheat)
Lineage: Eukaryota; Viridiplantae; Streptophyta; Magnoliopsida; Poales; Poaceae
Gene name: zinc finger CCCH domain-containing protein 7
Exons: 11
Source: RefSeq, a predicted model, not a curated record
GCUAACGGUAUUACACUCUGGCCCAAACUCUCUUAUUUGCCGCCUCUGCUUUGGACGACAAUGGGGUUUCCUCUCCUCAUCGGACAGUUCCGUCGGCGCCGCCGAGCUCGCACGGCGAGGCAGACCACUGCUCGAUAUCCUAACUCCAACCCAGCCAACUCCCACCCGUAGACCCUAAUUCUAAGGCAGCCUAAUCCCUCGCCAUGGAGGAUUCCCUUGUGCCGCCUGUGCCUCCUGCCCCAACCACCCUUUUCCUCACUCGCCGGCGAUCACAUCUCGACAGCGCCUCCUACCGCACGCUCUCCCGGCUCUUCUCCCACUGCCUCCACCACCGCCCCUCGCAGCUCGCUGCCCCGGCGCCCCUUGAAGUCGAGCCCGCCGCUGCGAACCCUAUAUGCGACGAGUCGCCACAGGGGUGCUCGGUACCGCCUGGACGGGGAAAGGACUUAGGAGAAGAGGAGACUGCGGUAAGGACUUCUGUCAUCGAGAACCCCUCACCCGCGGCAGUCGAUGCAGCCACCGGUAACCCUAUUGCAGACCCGGCUGUGGCACCACAGAGAUACAUGGAGAAUCAAGUGGCCGGGGUUCAGCGGGUGGAGGGCGUAACAGAUAUGGUUGUUGGGGGAAACGUCUGCCGUGAGACUGUUGCGUUCGUGGAGGAGUUGGGGGCAGAGGAUGUUUUGAGGUCGAUGAAGGAUUGUUUGGAGGGGGAGGUUGACGAAUUGGCAGAGCCAGAUGUAGUGGUGGUCAAUGAUGAUGAACAUCUGCUGCUUGAUACGAUGAUGACCAACUUCUCAGGGUUGAUUGCUGAUGCCAGUGGCGGUACAACGUCAAUGCUGAACUAUGGGGUUUCUGGAGGUGAACCACACAAUGAUGGCAACAUAGCUGAGGGGGUGAAAGAAUUGGGAGCUGGAACUGAAGAAGACAGACCUGUGGGUGGUUUAGAUCAGCACUCAGUUGAUGGUGGCGUGGUUGAGGAAGGAGAGAUUGAGGGUGACAUGCAGGCUCUGGAUGUAGAUGAAUCUGAUGAUUCGGAGCUCGAAGAUGCAGAUGAUGAGGAAUUGGAAGAGGAUUUUACUAACAGAGUGUUGGGGGAGAAUGAAUCAUCUGGCCAGGACAUACCGUGUCUGAAUUUGCUUUCAACGCCUAAAACUAAAGGAACCAGUGAUCUUGUACUGAACAAGGAAGGUUAUAUCAAGGAUGAUGCACUAAAGCAUGUCACCAGGGCGCAGGCAGUCAGUUAUGAUGAAAUUGUGGAAUGGAAUGAGACACCGCUGCCUGAUGCUGAGGCUCCCAAACUAGGGAAGAGAAAACGGCAUUUGACAGAGGAAAGAAAGGCUAAGAAGACGAAAAACAAACGGGUUAAGAGAGCACAGCAGCGGAUAGCGGAUGGUGUGAAAAGACUGAAACUUGCACCAGUUAUAAAGCCGAAACCAGUGAAGUUAUGCCACUUCUACAUGCAUGGGAAGUGCCAGCAGGGCAAUGCUUGCAAGUUCUCACAUGAUACUACACCUUUGACAAAAUCUAAGCCCUGCACACAUUUUGCGCGCGGUUCUUGUUUGAAAGGAGAUGAUUGUCCCUAUGAUCAUGAGUUGUCAAAGUACCCUUGCCACAACUUUGUGGAAAAUGGAAUGUGUUUCAGAGGUGAUAAAUGCAAAUUUUCUCAUGUGGUGCCAACUGCAGAUGGUCCUUCCAAACCAGAUGCAAAGAAAUCUGAUGCGUCAUUGGUGUCUGAAAAACCUGGCAGAGAGCAAACAAGUAGUCAGAAAGCAUCAACGGUCCAUGAUGGCGAACGUGUAACUUCUGCUCCUACCAAACAUUACUCCAUCCUUAAAAACCUUGCCGGCAUCUCAGUAAAUGCUCUAAAAGCAUCAACCAGUACACCAAAGGGUGUACAGUUUCGUCCUUCCAGUAAAGACAGAUCAAAUUCUAGCAUGUUGCAUCAGGAUGCUCUAACCAUCGAGAAGCAUAUGUAUACAAAUGGCAGUAAACAUCAGAAUUUUGGUGGACCGCAGGCUGAAGAAGGGGAUAAAAAUGUCAGUCCAAAUAAACAGAGAUCAGCUCCACUGCUCGAUGAGAAGAACUCAUCAAAAGAAGCUAGUUCACAUCCAAGUUCAGACCCAAAGGGAACUAGUUUGCCUACUGGCUCUACUACAGUGCUUGGAUCACUCAGCACUCAGCACGAAGUUUCAGAGGCUUCAAGAAUUUUGCAAGAAUUCUUAUUUGGUGCUGGCAGUUAGAGGAAAAAUUAGGCUAAGUGCCACCGUGGGUACAUGAAGAUUUGUUAUUAUCCAGUCAACUCACUCUGCAUAUGACCACUGAUAUAAGUCGUAGUUCUUUCUCUGGAAGCACUGAAGCGUUCUGCCACCUGUUUUCUUGGGUCCUUGGAGAGCAUUUGUAGUGGAGGGGCAGUCUUUGGUACCAGUUUUUGCUAGUUCUACAGGCGGCCUAAUUUCAUGAAGAUUUUUUGCGACAAUAUAUGUUCAUGGUGUAAAAAUUGUGAGAUUGUUAAAGUAUUUUCAUUUUAUGACCAAUUUACUUCUUCACUUAUGAUUUGUGAGAUAAAUUCAAAUGUUAAAAACCAAUGUUUGAGUGCAUUCUUCCCACGGCAACAUGUUCUCUCAGACCAGUUCACGAGUAUUAGCUUUCCUUGUCAAACAUAGCAUUAGCUUUCAUCCAAGAUUUUUUGUGUGGAAAAAUAUUUAUCUGCAGAGCCUUGUGGAAAUCUUGAACCAGAUCUCGUUAAUUUUUUCCUUGACUAUUGAUUGAGUGCUAAAUUAUCUGCUGUGUCGGCAUGUGAUCUAAUGCUGUUUUGGUUUACAAGGCGAAGCAGUGGAGAUUUGAGGUGUCAUUAUUCAGUUCCUAACAAAGGCUGCUUUCUGAGGCACCUCGGGUCGAUUCAGUACAUACACAUUUCUUUCUGUUGGGCUGUCUGUAGAAAGAUGCCGCACCGUGCGCUAAAUGAUUUCUAGCUGCUCUUCUAUCAGUAUCUCAAGUAUCCAAUGUGCUUAUCAGACGUGGAGAAAGGAAAAAAAAAUCCAUCUUUUUCUGCUUUCAGGCCCUCCGGACUCUCCAGGCAAAGAGAGCAUUACUGGUGUUGGCCUGGUGCAUUGGAUGUUUGAACUUGCAUGCGCAUGCAUGCAGUACCCGGGAUUAUCUCUUGGUUGAGAAUUGCUUGUGGAACUAGUCUGGAGACUGUGGGACACAGGGGCAGGCAGAAUCAAAGGUGUCCCAGGUAUGAGCUGGACUGCGUAUGAUUGUUUUUGCUUCAUUUCAAGCUUCCCUCCGACCUGCCCCGUGCCUAUUCGCUGUCAAACUCACAGCUGUUGUCGCAUCAGUUCAGAAUUACAUUCACAUGAUCACUGAGGAGGCUCACAUGGCGUUUAUCACCUCCAGAUUUGUCGCAGACAUCUGAGUUUACGCUCCUCGGUGACUCUUAACUGGCUAUCUCGAGUUUUUCUUCCAAUGAUGAUGAUGCCCUUUAAACCGUGUUAUUUCGUCAUGCUGCUCAUGUCAGCUUUGAGUGGCUUGUGCCCGAGGUGCAAUUUGUUAUCUUGGUACUGGAAUAGCUCUAUCGCACUCGUGAAAGCAACUGAUUCAAAGGUUUUGAGUGGCUUGUACACCUGAACCUGUAUGUGUUGCUUGUCAUGGGGACUGGAUAACGUGUGAACCUGGUGAAAGCCCCCCCUCCCUGAGGAUGUGAUGGACUGAUAGGUAGCCACUUUGUUGCUUUUCUCCUAUGAUAAAUACUCUCCCUUAGUUGGAAAACAAAUGCAUAUUUACCAGUACUUCAGGGCCCUUCUAUAUACUCCAUUCAUGGAGGAUUUAUUACCAUCUACACCUAAGGCCCUAUUUGGAUUAUCUUUUUCCUUUUGAAUACCCCUGUAAAUAAUACAGGUCUCGACCCGUCGUUUUGUUUCUGGCCGGGAAUUUCUCAGUGGCCGGUGAGAUACACCUGUAAGUUAAUCACCUCCGUAUAAAAUUACAUCGACCCCAAGCGCGGCCUAACUGUGGAGUAAGGGGAUAUGGCGAAAUACAGUUGACCAGAAAAAUAUAGCAUGUAUGUAACCUUUUGUACCCAGCAUUUUUUGUGCAUAUCAGAUGGAAGAGCAAAACACAAGCAACUACUCCAUCCUUCUCAAAAUGUAGGUGUGUUUUGAUUUGUUAAGAAAAACCUUUGAUCAACAUUCUUAUAUUGGCUCCUAUGUGUUCUUUUGUGAUACAAAUCACAAUCAUAUUUGAGUAUUGUUGAAUACAAAUCUAAUGAUAUAAAAAUAUGUUACAUAAACCACAUAUAUUAAAAAAGUAAGUAUUGGUCGUUAAUAAAUCAAAACAUGUCUUAUAUUUUGAAACAGAAGGAGUUUGCAUAAUUUUUGAAAAUAAAUAGAUAAUUAAAAUAACUGAUACUGCUCACUCAUCGUGCAAUUUUUGUACAACUUGUUCUGAGACUAAUCGCUGUCAAGCUAUGUUCCCCAGUUCGCAACCAUCUCUACACGGGCAAUGACAAUCCACAUCCAACUUCGUUUGUUUUGUUGCCAGCAUUUUCCGGCCAUAUGUAGUCAGCCAUGCCAUGCUCUAUUGCAAAGUCGAUAUAAAUAAGUUUGCCUGAGAAAAUCUAUUUCGCUAUUUAGAGUAAUCAUGUUGCCAAUCAGCAUACAUUUUUGUUGAAUUAUACUCCCUCUGUCCCAUAAUAUAAGACGUCUUUUGACAUUGUGUAGUGGUGAACUCUUUAUCUGGUUAUUAAGGCUACAGCCUGUUGCUGACUUUUAUCAACGAUUGUACAACGCACCGACAAAUGAUUUAUGUCAUUUGACAGGAUUGAUACCUCCUGUUUUCUUUUACCUUGUUACAUUUGACAUGAACUCUUAACAUCUUGUUGUCUUGAUCCCUUCUUCAUUGGUGAUGAUGGCAAUAUCGUUUCAUUGAGCUGCUUUUGUUUCAUAGGACCAAAUUGUUCAGCAGACUGCCAUAUGCCAGUAUAUAUAUAUUUUUCCAAUGAUGCCAAAUCUGACAUUGAGUCGUCGACUGGAGUCGCUGUUUGACACAGCUUUGCUGCUUGUCUUUCUCACCUUAGCACGGUCACAUACAUAAAUCUUGCACAGGGAGUACUCAGGCUGGCUGACAAAAACGACACCUCUGGAGUGAUCAAACUGGCAGCCUCCCUCAGCAAACAGGGAACUCCUGCAUCCGUUCAGUUCAUGUCCAGAGACCAAGGCCUCCGAAUUCAGCCGGCACACCCUCUGUUGAAUUGCUAAUAGGACCAUUCCUGUAUGUAUUCUGCAAUUCACUGUUCUUGAAUUAUCUCAGUAAUGGACCGAGUCAAUGCCAACAGGAAGAAUGAUGAGGUGGAAUCCACGGACACGGUUGGAAAAUCUUAAGACUUUGUUCGUGUCUGUUCUGCCCGGCCGUCCAUCCUUGUCUGAUGGUAAAUAGGAGGAAAUCAAGUACAGCCGAUUACUUCGAUUGGUCGCCAUUUCAGAGAUAAUUAGCAGGAGGGUUAGGCAAUUAUGGGUUUCAAUACCUCCGGCCACUCAUUCUGUUGGCCAUCACAUUCCUCAGUUAGAAAUGGAGCCUAUCACCCGAGACCCUUCUUGAACAUGACAACGACACUCCAUGAAUCCUGGCUACUGCCAUGUUCUCAUGCUCACCGCAUAUCAUCACACAGUUCAGCCAAGAACUACAGUUUGUUCUCUUCUCUUUCGAUGACGAUAAAAGUACACAUGGUUUCAUUGGUCACGCGAGCGUGCAAUUGCCCCGUGGAUCCCGAGAUCCGGCUUUCAUGGCUCCUGUUACUGAAUCAUGAGUUUUCUUCUCCAAACUAGUGCAGUAAUUCUUCCUGCUACCAGAUUCAACUGAGCCUGCAAUUUGCAUGAGGGGCCUGUCCUUUUCUUGAUGCGGACAUGCUUAUAUUCGGGCUCAUAAUUCGCACCUUGACCGCUUUUUAAAAAUCAUACAUGACCAUAAUUCUAGCAGAUUGAUAUUGACACAUGGGUAGGCAGGCCAGGAGGGUUUUCUCUUUUACUAUUGUCUGGAGAUCUUUGAUUGUGUUCACGACUAAUUGCACAAUGUUUCGGAUUGCUCAUCUUGCAAGAAAAAUCUAGCCUGGCUGUUUCGGUUGACUUGAUUCAGCAAAAGCUAGCCCAACUACACUGUGCUAAUUAUCUUCUAAUCAUUGGUUCACUGGUUUUCAUGGGUCUUCUCUUUUCGGGCAUCUGCUGGGAAAGUUGGAUGCUAAAAGGAAUUGCAGCUUUGCUACUAUCUGAAUGAUGAUGUGCUGUAAAAGGUGGACCAAACAACCAGAGGUCAUGUGUGGAUGACUGCUUUCUACUCCUAGUACAAAAGAUCAAAACAACAAAUACAUGAUACUCCAUAUGUAACUCUAAGGUUCAAAGCAAUUCAUAAUAUUUCUUCUUUAUAAUUUAAUAAGGGCUAUACUAUACUCUGCGGCGGUCGACCGGCCCGAGCGCUGGACCGGUGACCGCGUGAGCCAUCAGAUUGCUUUCUCGUCAACCGGGCGAGCCCAUAAGUUAGCCAGGUGCGCGUAGCAGUUUAGGCACGUUGCAUGCCUCCGCUAGCUGCUGCUGCUGCGAUCACAAGAAAGGAAAUGUUUAAGCAGGCAGGGGUGAGAUGGCACAUGGCAUGUCUCUGUUGACCCUUGUCUGCAUGCCAUCAGCGGAA